GGGCCCGUAGCUCAAUGGAUAGAGCAACAGAUUUCUAAUCUGUUGGUUGGAGGUUCGAUCCCUCUCGGGCCCG
RNAcentral lists this transfer RNA (73 nucleotides) under Candidatus Margulisiibacteriota bacterium. RNAcentral's name for it is "tRNA-Arg". It matches the Rfam family "tRNA". From Rfam's summary of the family: Transfer RNA (tRNA) molecules are approximately 80 nucleotides in length. Their secondary structure includes four short double-helical elements and three loops (D, anti-codon, and T loops). Lineage: Bacteria; Bacillati; Candidatus Margulisiibacteriota. The record is from RNAcentral.